Molecule: long non-coding RNA, 236 nt
Filed under: Malus domestica (apple)
Lineage: Eukaryota; Viridiplantae; Streptophyta; Magnoliopsida; Rosales; Rosaceae
Description: long non-coding RNA (MDOM_LNC005273)
Source: RNAcentral
GGUUAGGAGGAUCCUCUCCAUUAGCUCAGGAGAGGAUCCAAAUCCACACGGAUGAAGAUCAUGAUUAAAUACAAUAAAAAAAACCAAUUGGCAUAGGUUAAUCAUGACAAGACUGGAAAAAGCCGAACUUAACGGGAAAAGAAUUGCCACAAUUUUGAAUAAAAAAGAUGUUCACGGAGAGCUUCGGUGGUUAAGAAUAUUUUUUUUACACCAAAGGUUCUUUUCGUUUGAAUCUC